GCCUACGGCCAUACCACCAUAAACACGCCCUAUCUUGUCUGAUCUUAGAAGCUAAGCUGUCCAGCCCAGUUAGUACUUGGAUGGUAUAUUUACUUACUUUUUAAUGAGAGCAAGAGAAAAGGAGAGCUUCUUAGUCU
Molecule: ribosomal RNA, 137 nt
Filed under: Erinaceus europaeus (western European hedgehog)
Lineage: Eukaryota; Metazoa; Chordata; Mammalia; Eulipotyphla; Erinaceidae
Source: RNAcentral